GUGUGUGUAGUGUCAGCGGAUAGCACAUCUGCCUUCCAAGCAGAAAGGGACGGUUCGAAUCCGUUCACGCACUCUA
Molecule: transfer RNA, 76 nt
Filed under: Lachnospiraceae bacterium
Lineage: Bacteria; Bacillati; Bacillota; Clostridia; Lachnospirales; Lachnospiraceae
Description: tRNA-Gly
Rfam family: tRNA
About the family: Transfer RNA (tRNA) molecules are approximately 80 nucleotides in length.
Source: RNAcentral